Molecule: transfer RNA, 72 nt
Filed under: Camelus bactrianus (Bactrian camel)
Lineage: Eukaryota; Metazoa; Chordata; Mammalia; Artiodactyla; Camelidae
Also listed under: 2 other names
Rfam family: tRNA
About the family: Transfer RNA (tRNA) molecules are approximately 80 nucleotides in length. Their secondary structure includes four short double-helical elements and three loops (D, anti-codon, and T loops).
Source: Rfam by way of RNAcentral
GAGGGUAUGGCUCAAGUGAAGAGUACAUGCUUGUCAUGCACAAGGUUCUGGGUUCAAUCUCCAGUACCUCCU